This 253-nucleotide ribosomal RNA is filed under the name uncultured bacterium. Its description in RNAcentral is "partial 16S ribosomal RNA". It matches the Rfam family "Bacterial small subunit ribosomal RNA", at positions 524 to 776 of the family's 1533-position model. The record is from RNAcentral.
UACGAAGGGGGCUAGCGUUGCUCGGAAUUACUGGGCGUAAAGCGCACGUAGGCGGAUUGUUAAGUCGGGGGUGAAAUCCUGGAGCUCAACUCCAGAACUGCCUUCGAUACUGGCGAUCUAGAGUCCGGGAGAGGUGAGUGGAACUGCGAGUGUAGAGGUGAAAUUCGUAGAUAUUCGCAAGAACACCAGUGGCGAAGGCAGCUCGCUGGGACGGUACUGACGCUGAGACGCGAAAGCGUGGGGAGCAAACAGG